AUUGAACGCUGGCGGCAGGCCUAACACAUGCAAGUCGAGCGGAGCGGCGGACGGGGGAGGAAUGCCUAGGAAUCUGCCUGGUAGCGGGGGAUAACGUCCGGAAACGGGCGCUAAGACCGCAUACUAUCAGAUGAGCCUAGGUCGGAUUAGCUAGAUGGAGGGGUAAGGGCCUACAAAGGCGACGAUCCGUAACUGGUCUGAGAGGAGGAUCAGUCACCCUGGAACUGAGACACGGUCCAGACUCCUCCCCUAUCCAUCAAUUUAAAAUAUUAAACAAUGACGGAAACCCUGAUCCAGCCAUGCCGCGUGUAUGAAGAAAUUCUUCGGGUUUUAAUGCACUUUAAGUUGGGAGGCGUUACCAGCAGAAUAAGCACCGGCUAACUUCGUGCCAGCAGCCGCGGUAAUAC
Molecule: ribosomal RNA, 407 nt
Filed under: uncultured bacterium
Lineage: Bacteria
Description: partial 16S ribosomal RNA
Rfam family: Bacterial small subunit ribosomal RNA
Source: RNAcentral